RNAcentral lists this ribosomal RNA (253 nucleotides) under uncultured bacterium. Its description in RNAcentral is "partial 16S ribosomal RNA". It matches the Rfam family "Bacterial small subunit ribosomal RNA", at positions 524 to 776 of the family's 1533-position model. The record is from RNAcentral.
UACGGAGGGGGCUAGCGUUAUUCGGAAUUACUGGGCGUAAAGCGUGCGCAGGCGGUUGUGUAAGACAGGUGUGAAAUCCCCGGGCUUAACCUGGGAACUGCGCUUGUGACUGCACGACUCGAGUGUGGCAGAGGGGGGUGGAAUUCCACGUGUAGCAGUGAAAUGCGUAGAGAUGUGGAGGAACACCGAUGGCGAAGGCAGCCCCCUGGGUUAACACUGACGCUCAUGCACGAAAGCGUGGGUAGCAAACAGG